This 262-nucleotide unclassified non-coding RNA is filed under the name plant metagenome. RNAcentral's name for it is "partial contains small subunit ribosomal RNA, internal transcribed spacer 1, and 5.8S ribosomal RNA". The record is from RNAcentral.
UUUCCGUAGGUGAACCUGCGGAAGGAUCAUUAUUGUAUAACCGAGGUGCGAGGGCCGUCGCUGACCCGAAAGGUCGUGCACGCCCGAGUGCCCUCACACACAUCCAUCUCACCCCUAUGUGCACCACCGCGUGGGUCCCCCUUUGGCUUGUUCGGAGGGGGGCUUACGUUUUCACACAAACUUUGUAUGCAGUGUAGAAUGUAUUUUUGUUUUUGCGAUCACGCAAUCAAUACAACUUUCAACAACGGAUCUCUUGGCUCUC